This 396-nucleotide ribosomal RNA is filed under the name uncultured bacterium. Its description in RNAcentral is "partial 16S ribosomal RNA". It matches the Rfam family "Bacterial small subunit ribosomal RNA", at positions 523 to 918 of the family's 1533-position model. The record is from RNAcentral.
AUACGUAGGGGGCAAGCGUUAUCCGGAUUUACUGGGUGUAAAGGGAGUGUAGGUGGUCUGGCAAGUCAGAUGUGAAAGCCCGCGGCUCAACUGCGGGACUGCAUUUGAAACUGCCAGACUGGAGUGCAGGAGAGGAAAGUGGAAUUCCUAGUGUAGCGGUGAAAUGCGUAGAUAUUAGGAAGAACACCAGUGGCGAAGGCGGCUUUCUGGACUGUACCUGACUCUGAGGCUCGAAAGCGUGGGGAGCAAACAGGAUUAGAUACCCUGGUAGUCCACGCGGUAAACGAUGAUCACUAGGUGUCCGUGGGUAUGACCCAUGGGUGCCGCAGCCAACGCAAUAAGUGAUCCCCCUGGGGAGUACGUUCGCAAGAAUGAAACUCAAAUGAAUUGACGGGG